AAUCAACGCUGGCGGCGUGCCUCAGACAUGCAAGUCGAACGAUUAAAGCUCUCUUCGGAGAGUGCAUAAAGUGGCGCACGGGUGAGUAACACGUAAGUAAUCUACCUUCGAGUGGGGAAUAACGUCCGGAAACGGACGCUAAUACCGCAUAACGCAGCGGCAUCGCAAGAUGACAGUUGUUAAAGAUUUAUCGCUUGAAGAGGAGCUUGCGGCAGANAGCUUGUUGGUAAGGUAACGGCUUACCAAGGCUACGAUCUGUAUCCGGUCUAAGAGGACGGUCGGACACACUGACACUG
This 296-nucleotide ribosomal RNA is filed under the name uncultured bacterium. RNAcentral's name for it is "partial 16S ribosomal RNA". It matches the Rfam family "Bacterial small subunit ribosomal RNA", at positions 32 to 321 of the family's 1533-position model. The record is from RNAcentral.